AAUUUAUCUAAUUGUAUUUUCAUUUUGUUAAUAGUUGUUAAUUAAUUAAAAUAAAUUUAUGUUGAUGUAAACUUAAUUAAAAUAAUUAUUUUUACUAUAAGGUAAGAGUACUGUGGAGGAAAUUUUGAAAUAUUAUUUAUAAUUAAGGGAAAUUAAUUUUAUUUAUUGUAUCUUGUGUAUCAGAGUGGAUUAAAAUGAAUUUUUUAUUAAAUUUUUCUCGAAGUUAAAAGAUUUAAUUGGGAAUGUUAAUUGAUGUAUCAAAAUCAUUAAAAAUUUCUAGUUGGUAAUGAAAUGUUAAUCGUUUUUAAGGAUAUCUAGUUUUUUAAGAAAUGAAUUUAAUUCAGAGAAUAUAAUUUAUAUUAGGUUUAUUAAUGUAAUUAUUUUAUGUUCUUACUUUUUAAGGGGAUUAACUCUUAAAAAUAUAAUUAUAAUGAAUAGUUUUUAUAGGAUUUUAUGGAUUUAGAAUUUGUUUUUAUUUUAAGGAUGUUAAAAUAUAUUUCUUGUUAUGUAGAAUUUAUUUUUUAUUUAAUUUGUUUAUUAAAAUGUAAAGUGGAAUUUGUAAGCUUUAAUAAGAAUGAUUUAAUUAGUAAAAUUAAUUGAAGUAUAUCAUUUAAUUAAUAGACUGGUAUUUUAAAAUAAGGAAUUAAGCAAAAAUUUUACUCGCCUGUUUAUUAAAAACAUGGUUUCUUGAUAUUUUAUUGUAUAAGAGAUCUGACCUGCCCACUGAAAAAUUUGAAGGGCCGCAGUAUUUUGACUGUGCAAAGGUAGCAUAAUCAUUAGUCUUUUAAUUGAAGGCUGGAAUGAAUGGUUGGACGAGGUAAAACCUGUCUUAUUUUUUAAUGUAAAUUGAAUUUAAAUUUUAAGUAAAAAUGCUUAAAUGUGAUUAAGGGACGAGAAGACCCUAUAGAGUUUAAUAUUCGUAAUUUUAAUUGAGUUUAAGCUUAAUUUUUGAUUACUAUAAAGAAUAUUUAAUUGGGGUGAUUAGAAGAUACAUGAAACUCUUCUUUAAUUUUAAUAAAAUAAGUAAAUUGAAGAUCCAUUAAUAAUGAUUAUAAGAUUAAAUUACCUUAGGGAUAACAGCAUAAUUCUUUUUGAGAGUUCUAAUCGAGAAGGGAGCUUGUGACCUCGAUGUUGGACUAAGAUAAAUUGUGGGUGCAGAAGUUCACUAAUUAAGUCUGUUCGACUUUUAAAUUCUUACAUGAUYUGAGUUUAAACCGGUGUAAGCCAGGUUGGUUUCUAUCUUUAAUAUAUUAAAAUAUUUUAGUACGAAAGGACCAAAUAUUUGAAAUAAUUUUUUGAAAAUUGAGUAUUAUUAAUU
This 1318-nucleotide ribosomal RNA is filed under the name Stenotoxodera porioni. Its description in RNAcentral is "16S ribosomal RNA". The stretch from base 884 to 1246 matches the Rfam family "Archaeal large subunit ribosomal RNA", at positions 2153 to 2718 of the family's 2987-position model. The record is from RNAcentral. Lineage: Eukaryota; Metazoa; Arthropoda; Insecta; Mantodea; Toxoderidae.